RNAcentral lists this ribosomal RNA (397 nucleotides) under uncultured bacterium. Its description in RNAcentral is "partial 16S ribosomal RNA". It matches the Rfam family "Bacterial small subunit ribosomal RNA", at positions 92 to 507 of the family's 1533-position model. The record is from RNAcentral.
CGACCGGCGCACGGGUGCGUAACGCGUAUGUAACCUACCUUUAACAGGGGGGAUAACACUGAGAAAUUGGUACUAAUACCCCAUAACACCUAAAGAGGCAUCUUUUUGGGUUGAAAGUUCCGGCGGUUAAAGAUGGACAUGCGUUGUAUUAGCUAGAUGGUGAGGUAACGGCUCACCAUGGCGACGAUACAUAGGGGGACUGAGAGGUUAACCCCCCACACUGGUACUGAGACACGGACCAGACUCCUACGGGAGGCAGCAGUGGGGAAUAUUGCACAAUGGGGGAAACCCUGAUGCAGCAACGCCGCGUGAGUGAAGAAGUAUUUCGGUAUGUAAAGCUCUAUCAGCAGGGAAGAAAAAGACGGUACCUGACUAAGAAGCACCGGCUAAAUACGUG